Molecule: long non-coding RNA, 1363 nt
Filed under: Lupinus angustifolius (narrow-leaved blue lupine)
Lineage: Eukaryota; Viridiplantae; Streptophyta; Magnoliopsida; Fabales; Fabaceae
Description: long non-coding RNA (LANG_LNC000484)
Source: RNAcentral
CCAGUGACAGUUAAAUGAAGUUUUCCCUUUAUAUAAUGGUAUAGAUAAUUAUAAUGCAUUUAUAAUUAUAAUGCUCAAGUUCCUGCCAACAUUCAAGAAAUAAUUAUAAUGCAUUUAUAAUAAUAGAAUGCAAAAAAGGAAUCUUUGAUUGGUCCUACGUAUAAAAUAUGCAUAAAAAUUACAGCUAUGAUACUUUUAUCAUUUUAUUUACAAUAAAAUGACACUUUUAUUUUUAGAAGCAAAUAAAAAAAAAAGAAUUUCUCUUACUGUACCAGAGAGGUUCCUCGUUCAAAAUAACUUAUGGGAGAGAAUCCUUAUUAAAAAAAACAUAAUGCUAUAUCAUGAACUUGUACAAUUGAAGGAGACAUGUACACAUUUAAUGCAUUCUAUUGUAUUCAAAGUAAGUGUCACUCACUAAUUCUUCAUUGUUGCCUCAUGUUCUUUCUGCUAUUCAAUAUUGGCAGUUAGUCUAACUCCUACAAGAGCUGCCCGUUGGUGAAGGAAAAAUUAGAAUAGAACAUGCUGGUAAUAAGCCAAUAACAAACCAAAAACAUAGUAAAUUAACACAAGUCACAACACUCACAAGUUAGCCAUAUAGGACUAUAGUGUAGCUUGUAAAUAAUUUGUAAAUGAACUGAAUAAAUAAAUGGAUGACAUCCCAAACAAAUUUUAAGCUAUAAAAAUUUAAAGAUUCCUAGCACUGUUAAAGAAAUGCAGUUAUUAUAACCUCGGGUCUAUAAAUGAAAUGUAUAAAAUGUCCAUGUUUCUUCCAAUAAAUUGCUUCACAUUUCCUAUCAUUAGAUAUAAAAGAAUCAUAACGCAGUAACACUUGACAUUUUAUCGAACACAUAAGCUACAACACACAAAAAACUCUAAACUAGAUAAACAAACAAAUAUGACAAAAAGCAUCCACAUAAACAUUUUCAAAACUGAUUUGAAUAAGAUGCAAUAUGAUAGAUAUUGAACAGAAACAAUAAAAAUAGAUGAGUACCGAACAAAAGUAUAUUUGAGUUUCAGUGUACUGGAAGCUUACACUUACUAGCUCCUUCCUCGCACAAAUGAUUGUAACCACGAGAACUUAAAAGAUAAACCUAAUAAAGCAUUAGAUCCAUCCAAUUUUUAUAAGAACAUGUGAAUAAACUCAAAUCAAUUUUCAAGCACAUCAUCCUUCUCAUCAUUGUAAGCUCGCGAACGCUGGGGAGUUUCUUCGUCGCACCAAAGUAACCAGGACCAUUGAGCUCCUUGGGAGGUGCGACAAUGGUUAAUAAAAAUGGAUUGCAGAUAGAAGGGAAAGAUCCUAUGGUGUGGAGGCUGAGAAAUGACUUUAGGUUUAGAAACAAAGUUUGAACACUUUGAUUUCAAA